This 1303-nucleotide ribosomal RNA is filed under the name 'Trema tomentosa' witches'-broom phytoplasma. RNAcentral describes it as "bacterial SSU rRNA". It matches the Rfam family "Bacterial small subunit ribosomal RNA", at positions 122 to 1422 of the family's 1533-position model. Lineage: Bacteria; Bacillati; Mycoplasmatota; Mollicutes; Acholeplasmatales; Acholeplasmataceae. The record is from RNAcentral.
UAACCUGCCUUUAAGACGAGGAUAACAAGUGGAAACAUUUGCUAAGACUGGAUAGGAAAUAGAAGGAUAACCUUUUAUUUUUAAAAGACCUUCUUCGGAAGGUAUGCUUAAAGAAGGGCUUGCGCCACAUUAGUUAGUUGGUAGGGUAAAAGCCUACCAAGACUAUGAUGUGUAGCUGGACUGAGAGGUUGAACAGCCACAUUGGGACUGAGACACGGCCCAAACUCCUACGGGAGGCAGCAGUAGGGAAUUUUCGGCAAUGGAGGAAACUCUGACCGAGCAACGCCGCGUGAACGAAGAAGUAUUUAGGUAUGUAAAGUUCUUUUAUUGAAGAAGAAAAAAUAGUGGAAAAACUAUCUUGACGCUAUUCAAUGAAUAAGCCCCGGCUAACUAUGUGCCAGCAGCCGCGGUAAGACAUAGGGGGCGAGCGUUAUCCGGAAUUAUUGGGCGUAAAGGGUGCGUAGGCGGUUAGAUAAGUCUAUAAUUUAAUUUCAGUGCUUAACGCUGUUCUGUUAUAGAAACUGUCUAGCUAGAGUGAGAUAGAGGCAAGUGGAAUUCCAUGUGUAGCGGUAAAAUGUGUAAAUAUAUGGAGGAACACCAGAAGCGUAGGCGGCUUGCUGGGUCUUUACUGACGCUGAGGCACGAAAGCGUGGGUAGCAAACAGGAUUAGAUACCCUGGUAGUCCACGCCGUAAACGAUGAGUACUAAGUGUCGGGGUUAAACUCGGUACUGAAGUUAACACAUUAAGUACUCCGCCUGAGUAGUACGUACGCAAGUAUGAAACUUAAAGGAAUUGACGGGACUCCGCACAAGCGGUGGAUCAUGUUGUUUAAUUCGAAGAUACACGAAAAACCUUACCAGGUCUUGACAUACUCUGCAAAGCUAUAGAAAUAUAGUGGAGGUUAUCAGGGAUACAGGUGGUGCAUGGUUGUCGUCAGCUCGUGUCGUGAGAUGUUAGGUUAAGUCCUAAAACGAGCGCAACCCUUGUCGUUAAUUGCCAGCACGUUAUGGUGGGGACUUUAGCGAGACUGCCAAUUAAAAAUUGGAGGAAGGUGAGGAUUACGUCAAAUCAUCAUGCCCCUUAUGAUCUGGGCUACAAACGUGAUACAAUGGCUGUUACAAAGAGUAGCUGAAAUGCGAGUUUUUAGCCAAUCUCAAAAAAGCAGUCUCAGUUCGGAUUGAAGUCUGCAACUCGACUUCAUGAAGUUGGAAUCGCUAGUAAUCGCGAAUCAGCAUGUCGCGGUGAAUACGUUCUCGGGGUUUGUACACACCGCCCGUCAAACCACGAAAGUUGAUAAUACCC